GCCUGAGUGGCUCAGUUUGUUGAGUGUCUAACUUCGGCUCAGAUCAUGAUAUCACAGUUUGUGAGUUCAAGCCCCACAUCAGGCU
This 85-nucleotide transfer RNA is filed under the name Panthera leo (lion). It matches the Rfam family "tRNA". Rfam says of the family: Transfer RNA (tRNA) molecules are approximately 80 nucleotides in length. Lineage: Eukaryota; Metazoa; Chordata; Mammalia; Carnivora; Felidae. The record is from Rfam by way of RNAcentral.